AUUUAGCCCCGAUUGUAGUGGAAAUCCUUUUUUUAAAGAAAAAAGAUUGUAGCGGAAAGCGGGAGACAGC
RNAcentral lists this small RNA (70 nucleotides) under Chryseobacterium potabilaquae. RNAcentral's name for it is "Chryseobacterium sp. CECT 9293 Flavo-1". It matches the Rfam family "Flavo-1 RNA". Lineage: Bacteria; Pseudomonadati; Bacteroidota; Flavobacteriia; Flavobacteriales; Weeksellaceae. The record is from RNAcentral.